AUGGGGUGACUGCGUACCUUUUGUAUAAUGGGUCAGCGACUUAUAUUCUGUAGCAAGGUUAACCGUAUAGGGGAGCCGUAGGGAAACCGAGUCUUAACUGGGCGAAUGAGUUGCAGGGUAUAGACCCGAAACCCGGUGAUCUAUCCAUGGGCAGGUUGAAGGUUGGGUAACACUAACUGGAGGACCGAACCGACUAAUGUUGAAAAAUUAGCGGAUGACUUGUGGAUGGGGGUGAAAGGCCAAUCAAACCGGGAGAUAGCUGGUUCUCCCCGAAAGCUAUUUAGGUAGCGCCUCGUGAA
RNAcentral lists this ribosomal RNA (299 nucleotides) under Proteus mirabilis. RNAcentral describes it as "partial 23S ribosomal RNA". It matches the Rfam family "Bacterial large subunit ribosomal RNA", at positions 588 to 888 of the family's 2925-position model. Lineage: Bacteria; Pseudomonadati; Pseudomonadota; Gammaproteobacteria; Enterobacterales; Morganellaceae. The record is from RNAcentral.